GACAGAGGGUGCAAACGUUGUUCGGAAUUACUGGGCGUAAAGCGUGUGUAGGCGGCCACGUAAGUCGGAUGUGAAAGCCCUGGGCUCAACCCAGGAAGUGCACUCGAUACUGCGUGGCUUGAGUACUGGAGAGGUUGGUGGAAUUCUCGGUGUAGAGGUGAAAUUCGUAGAUAUCGAGAGGAACACCGGUGGCGAAGGCGGCCAACUGGACAGAUACUGACGCUGAGACACGAAAGCGUGGGGAGCAAACAGG
RNAcentral lists this ribosomal RNA (253 nucleotides) under uncultured bacterium. RNAcentral's name for it is "partial 16S ribosomal RNA". It matches the Rfam family "Bacterial small subunit ribosomal RNA", at positions 524 to 776 of the family's 1533-position model. The record is from RNAcentral.